RNAcentral lists this ribosomal RNA (825 nucleotides) under Triticum aestivum (bread wheat). Its description in RNAcentral is "partial small subunit ribosomal RNA". The record is from RNAcentral. Lineage: Eukaryota; Viridiplantae; Streptophyta; Magnoliopsida; Poales; Poaceae.
AUGCUAGUUGCUACAGCUCUGGGCAGGAUCCAGGGAGCUAAUUUGGAGGGCGUCCUUGCCUACUAUGGCUUCCCGAUUCCAAUGCCCCCUGUAGUCACCACAGAGCACCAUCCAGCAUCACUACCAGACGGGCAGUUCGUCCUGAAAACUUUGCCGAUUUAUGCAAAGUGCAUUGGAGAUGGUGAUGGCUUUACUGCUUAUGUUGACACAGCAGAUCCAACCGAAUCAGCAAAUGUGCCACAGGAAGUGCGUGAGGCUGUCAAUGCAAUGUCACAAACACCCAAGCAUAGGAACAGCCAACAGAAAAGUGUACUCCAAAGUAAGCUGAACAAAGCUGGUUAUAGGAUAAUAUAUACUUCAAAAGAUGAGAUCCUUGCAAGGCAAUACCGCUUCAGAUUGAGGGGCAUUGAUGCACAGGAGAUGGGAAUGCAAUAUGGGAAGGAGUCCCAGAAUGCGCUGGUGAACCUUAUCGCUGGCAAAAGUGUCAUGGUUUACGUAUAUGGGCAGGACCAGUAUGAUCGCUGUGUUGGAGAUAUCUAUUGUGAUGGUGUGUUCAUCCAGGAACAAAUGCUGAAGGAGGGUCAUGCAUGGCAUUACAAGAUUUACGAUAAAUGCAAAGAAUUUGCAAAAUGGGAGAUGAAAGCACGAGAUGCACGUCGAGGGCUUUGGGCAUCUGAUAACCCUGAGAAGCCGUGGGAUUGGAAAAGGAAGCACAACGUGAGAAAUGAGGCAUCUGAUAACCUUGAUAAGACAUGGGAAUGGAGACGGAAACCGCACAAUGCAAGACACCAGAACACCCCAAUUCAGGUGACAUUGUGUACCUGA